RNAcentral lists this ribosomal RNA (305 nucleotides) under uncultured bacterium. Its description in RNAcentral is "bacterial SSU rRNA". It matches the Rfam family "Bacterial small subunit ribosomal RNA", at positions 338 to 660 of the family's 1533-position model. The record is from RNAcentral.
CAUACGGGGGGCAGCAGUGGGGAGUAUUGCGCAAUGGGGGAAACCCUGAUGCAGCGACGCCGCGUGAGUGAGGAAGUAUUUCGGUAUGUAAAGUUCUAUCAGCAGGGAAGAAAAUGACGGUACCUGACUAAGAAGCCCCGGCUAACUACGUGCCAGCAGCCGCGGUAAUACGUAGGGGGCAAGCGUUAUCCGGAUUUACUGGGUGUAAAGGGAGCGUAGACGGCAGCACAAGUCUGGAGUGAAAUCCCGGGGCUUAACCCCGGAACUGCUUUGGAAACUGUGCGGCUGGAGUGCAGGAGGGGUAA